CCUACGGGAGGCAGCAGUGGGGAAUUUUGGACAAUGGGCGAAAGCCUGAUCCAGCAAUGCCGCGUGAGUGAAGAAGGCCUUCGGGUUGUAAAGCUCUUUUGUCAGGGAAGAAACGGUGUUUUCUAAUACAGAAUGCUAAUGACGGUACCUGAAGAAUAAGCACCGGCUAACUACGUGCCAGCAGCCGCGGUAAUACGUAGGGUGCAAGCGUUAGUCGGAAUUACUGGGCGUAAAGCGUGCGCAGGCGGUUUUGUAAGUCUGACGUGAAAUCCCCGGGCUCAACCUGGGAAUUGCGUUGGAGACUGCAAGGCUAGAGUUUGGCAGAGGGGGGUAGAAUUCCACGUGUAGCAGUGAAAUGCGUAGAUAUGUGGAGGAACACCGAUGGCGAAGGCAGCCCCCUGGGUCAAGACUGACGCUCAUGCACGAAAGCGUGGGGAGCAAACAGGAUUAGAUACCCUGGUAGUCCACGCCCUAAACGAUGUCUACUAGUUGUCGGGUCUUAAUUGACUUGGUAACGCAGCUAACGCGUGAAGUAGACCGCCUGGGGAGUACGGUCGCAAGNUUAAAACNCAAAUGAAUUGACCGGNNGAGAGNGCGAGACGACACGAGGAGAGG
Molecule: ribosomal RNA, 615 nt
Filed under: uncultured bacterium
Lineage: Bacteria
Description: bacterial SSU rRNA
Rfam family: Bacterial small subunit ribosomal RNA
Source: RNAcentral